UGCGUAGGCGGCAUCGUAAGUCAGGAGUGAAAUCCCACGGCUCAACUGUGGAACUGCUUUUGAUACUGCGAUGCUUGAAUUAGGUUGAGGUCAGCGGAAUGUGACAUGUAGCGGUGAAAUGCAUAGAUAUGUCAUAGAACACCAAUUGCGAAGGCAGCUGGCUAGACCUACAUUGACGCUGAGGCACGAAAGCGUGGGGAGCGAACAGGAUUAGAUACCCUGGUAGUCC
RNAcentral lists this ribosomal RNA (229 nucleotides) under uncultured bacterium. RNAcentral describes it as "partial 16S ribosomal RNA". It matches the Rfam family "Bacterial small subunit ribosomal RNA", at positions 568 to 796 of the family's 1533-position model. The record is from RNAcentral.